Small nucleolar RNA from Eublepharis macularius, 136 nucleotides. RefSeq annotates it as small nucleolar RNA SNORA55. NCBI's taxonomy places the organism in Eukaryota, Metazoa, Chordata, Lepidosauria, Squamata, Eublepharidae. The transcript has a single exon. The record is from RefSeq and is a predicted model, not a curated record.
GCACCUGAAUCUUUCCCUUGCCUGGCAGAACAAGUGCGGGCAUGGGGACACAUGGUGCUAAAGCAAAGCAGAGGAUAUCCAGAUGAGUCCCCUUCCUUUCUUUUUGAGGGCUUGUCUCUACACCUUGGCAACAUUU